GGAAUAUUGGACAAUGGGCGAAAGCCUGAUCCAGCAAUGCCGCGUGAGUGAUGAAGGCCUUAGGGUUGUAAAGCUCUUUUACCCGAGAUGAUAAUGACAGUAUCGGGAGAAUAAGCUCCGGCUAACUCCGUGCCAGCAGCCGCGGUAAUACGGAGGGAGCUAGCGUUGUUCGGAAUUACUGGGCGUAAAGCGCACGUAGGCGGCGAUUUAAGUCAGAGGUGAAAGCCCGGGGCUCAACCCCGGAACUGCCUUUGAGACUGGAUUGCUAGAAUCUUGGAGAGGCGAGUGGAAUUCCGAGUGUAGAGGUGAAAUUCGUAGAUAUUCGGAAGAACACCAGUGGCGAAGGCGGCUCGCUGGACAAGUAUUGACGCUGAGGUGCGAAAGCGUGGGGAGCAAACA
Molecule: ribosomal RNA, 399 nt
Filed under: uncultured Sphingobium sp.
Lineage: Bacteria; Pseudomonadati; Pseudomonadota; Alphaproteobacteria; Sphingomonadales; Sphingobiaceae
Description: bacterial SSU rRNA
Rfam family: Bacterial small subunit ribosomal RNA
Source: RNAcentral